This 470-nucleotide ribosomal RNA is filed under the name uncultured bacterium. RNAcentral describes it as "partial 16S ribosomal RNA". It matches the Rfam family "Bacterial small subunit ribosomal RNA", at positions 28 to 507 of the family's 1533-position model. The record is from RNAcentral.
GACGAACGCUGGCGGCGUGCUUAACACAUGCAAGUCGAACGCUGAAGCACCAGCUUGCUGGUGUGGAUGAGUGGCGAACGGGUGAGUAAUACGUGAGUAACCUGCCCUUGACUCUGGGAUAAGCCCGGGAAACUGGGUCUAAUACUGGAUGCUACAUGUCACCGCAUGGUGGUGUGUGGAAAGGGUUUACUGGUCUUGGAUGGGCUCACGGCCUAUCAGCUUGUUGGUGAGGUAAUGGCUCACCAAGGCGACGACGGGUAGCCGGCCUGAGAGGGUGACCGGCCACACUGGGACUGAGACACGGCCCAGACUCCUACGGGAGGCAGCAGUGGGAAAUAUUGCACAAUGGGCGAAAGCCUGAUGCAGCGACGCCGCGUGAGGGAUGACGGCCUUCGGGUUGUAAACCUCUUUCAGCAGGGAAGAAGCCACAAGUGACGGUACCUGCAGAAGAAGCGCCGGCUAACUACGUG